Molecule: ribosomal RNA, 550 nt
Filed under: uncultured bacterium
Lineage: Bacteria
Description: bacterial SSU rRNA
Rfam family: Bacterial small subunit ribosomal RNA
Source: RNAcentral
UAGGGAAUCUUCCGCAAUGGGCGAAAGCCUGACGGAGCAACGCCGCGUGAGUGAUGAAGGUCUUCGGAUCGUAAAACUCUGUUAUUAGGGAAGAACAUAUGUGUAAGUAACUGUGCACAUCUUGACGGUACCUAAUCAGAAAGCCACGGCUAACUACGUGCCAGCAGCCGCGGUAAUACGUAGGUGGCAAGCGUUAUCCGGAAUUAUUGGGCGUAAAGCGCGCGUAGGCGGUUUUUUAAGUCUGAUGUGAAAGCCCACGGCUCAACCGUGGAGGGUCAUUGGAAACUGGAAAACCUGAGUGCAGAAGAGGAAAGUGGAAUUCCAUGUGUAGCGGUGAAAUGCGCAGAGAUAUGGAGGAACACCAGUGGCGAAGGCGACUUUCUGGUCUGUAACUGACGCUGAUGUGCGAAAGCGUGGGGAUCAAACAGGAUUAGAUACCCUGGUAGUCCACGCCGUAAACGAUGAGUGCUAAGUGUUAGGGGGUUUCCGCCCCUUAGUGCUGCAGCUAACGCAUUAAGCACUCCGCCUGGGGAGUACGACCGCAAGGUUG